RNAcentral lists this ribosomal RNA (253 nucleotides) under uncultured bacterium. RNAcentral's name for it is "partial 16S ribosomal RNA". It matches the Rfam family "Bacterial small subunit ribosomal RNA", at positions 524 to 776 of the family's 1533-position model. The record is from RNAcentral.
UACGAAGGGGGCUAGCGUUGUUCGGAAUCACUGGGCGUAAAGGGCGCGUAGGCGGCUUUGUAAGUCGGGGGUGAAAGCCUGUGGCUCAACCACAGAAUUGCCUUCGAUACUGCAUGGCUUGAGACCGGAAGAGGUUAGUGGAACUGCGAGUGUAGAGGUGAAAUUCGUAGAUAUCGGGAGGAACACCAGUGGCGAAGGCGAGUCUCUGGGAUGAUACUGACGCUGAUGCUCGAAAGCUAGGGGAGCAAACGGG